UGGAGUAGGGAGCACCUGAAAUACUCUCUAUUACCAUAUUAUGUAAUUUCGCUUCAUUUUCUUAUACGUUCAUGAUGGGUAUGUGCCGAUCUGUGUCCAUGUUAUUUUUAUGUAUCUUGAGCAAUUUUUCAUACUGGAUUCCUAAUUGCUAGAGCAUCUAGGCGACUGAAUCAAUAAGACGCCUGCAAAUUGUAAUAUAUGACAAGGUGGGUCAGAACCUUUGGAGAAAAAGAGAGAGAAUGUAUUUGAGGAGAGGCUAAG
Molecule: long non-coding RNA, 261 nt
Filed under: Setaria viridis
Lineage: Eukaryota; Viridiplantae; Streptophyta; Magnoliopsida; Poales; Poaceae
Description: long non-coding RNA (SVIR_LNC010400)
Source: RNAcentral